CGCGGCCUAUCAGCUUGUUGGUAAGGUAAUGGCUUACCAAGGCGACGACGGGUAGCUGGUCUGAGAGGAUGAUCAGCCACACUGGCACUGGAACACGGGCCAGACUCCUACGGGAGGCAGCAGUGGGGAAUCUUGGACAAUGGGCGAAAGCCUGAUCCAGCGACGCCGCGUGAGUGAUGAAGGCCCUCGGGUUGUAAAGCUCUGUUGAGAGGGAAGAAAAAUGCUCGUUCAAAUAGGGCGAGUACUUGACGGUACCUCUUUAGAAAGCACCGGCUAACUCUGUGCCAGCAGCCGCGGUAAGACAGAGGGUGCAAACGUUGCUCGGAAUUACUGGGCGUAAAGCGCGUGUAGGCGGAUAGGCAAGUCAGGUGUGAAAGCCCUGGGCUCAACCCGGGAACUGCAUUUGAAACUGCCUGUCUAGAGUGGUGGAGAGGGAAGCGGAAUUCCUGGUGUAGGGGUGAAAUUCGUAGAUAUCAGGAGGAACACCGGUGGCGAAGGCGGCUUCCUGGACACUUACUGACGCUGAGACGCGAAAGCGUGGGGAGCAAACAGGAUUAGAUACCCUGGUAGUCCACGCCGUAAACGAUGGGUACUAGAUGUCGCGGGUAUUGACCCCUGCGGUGUCGUAGCUAACGCGUUAAGUACCCCGCCUGGGGAGUACGG
Molecule: ribosomal RNA, 663 nt
Filed under: uncultured bacterium
Lineage: Bacteria
Description: bacterial SSU rRNA
Rfam family: Bacterial small subunit ribosomal RNA
Source: RNAcentral